RNAcentral lists this ribosomal RNA (253 nucleotides) under uncultured bacterium. Its description in RNAcentral is "partial 16S ribosomal RNA". It matches the Rfam family "Bacterial small subunit ribosomal RNA", at positions 524 to 776 of the family's 1533-position model. The record is from RNAcentral.
UACAGAGGGGGCUAGCGUUGUUCGGAAUUACUGGGCGUAAAGGGCGCGUAGGCGGCCCGCUAAGUCGAACGUGAAAUCCCCGGGCUCAACCUGGAAACUGCAUCCGAAACUGCCUUGCUAGAGUAUGGGAGAGGGAAGUGGAAUUUCCGGUGUAGCGGUGAAAUGCGUAGAUAUCGGAAGGAACAUCAGUGGCGAAGGCGACUUCCUGGACCAAUACUGACGCUCAGGUGCGAAAGCGUGGGGAGCAAACAGG